RNAcentral lists this non-coding RNA (26 nucleotides) under Homo sapiens (human). Lineage: Eukaryota; Metazoa; Chordata; Mammalia; Primates; Hominidae. The record is from RNAcentral.
UUGAUGAAGCCAUCCUGAAGUGUGAC